This is a long non-coding RNA of Takifugu rubripes (torafugu), 3940 nucleotides long. Lineage: Eukaryota; Metazoa; Chordata; Actinopteri; Tetraodontiformes; Tetraodontidae. The record is from Ensembl.
ACGCUAUUCUGUAGGACCUCCAAUAUCAGUUUAGUAAUAACUGCUAUCUGCUCGUUGUGGAGGCUGAUGGUGUCUGACCAAGAUCUCCCCUGAGAAAACACAGACCAGCAGCUCAGCCUUCCAGAGAGAAGAUGGAGCAGUUACAGAAGGAACAGGGGAUGUUAAACUAGUACGGAAUUAAAAUGUCAAUAUAGAACAUAUUUCAACCAGUGAAGAGCAGGCAGCCAGGCUAAAGCAGCAAGAAUGUAGCUCAGAGGAACAGAAUUAUAACUUUGUUCAACGAUGGAACAUUUAUCACUUCAAUUAAGGCAAAAUAAAAAACAAACAAACAACAACAACCCUACAAAGUUAUACUUAUUAAUUGUUCGUCACUUAAGUUUAUGAAGAACAUUUCACGUCUCGGUAAAAUAAAAGUAAGGCGGGAUCCAACUAUUACACCCACUUCCGGUGUUUACUGUGUGAUAAAGGUUCAAAAAUUAACGAUCGUACAGAUAAAAAAAAUCGUGACGGUGUUCUGAAGACGUUUGGUUCCCCAGCGCUGGAGAGACAACUUCAUCUUUUCUCCUCUUUUGGAUGCACAACAACAACAACAACAUCGACAGCAAAUAAUUAUGGACUUUUAUUUGGGAAACGCAACUGCAGGAAGAUGAAGUUCUGUCUUUUGCUUUACUGGGUUUUGCUGCCAGCAGCAGAAUGUGGUUCCCAUUCUCUUGAGUUCUUGUCUACAGGACGUGUUCAGCCUGGAUCUGGGCCCCAUUUUGAACAAGUUACAGAGUUUGAUGGAGUUGUGAUCUCUCACUGUGACAGUGGGACACAACAAGAACACUUCAAACCCGUCCUGGAAUCCCACAACUUACCUGGGACCUGCAGACCAGCAUGUUAUGAUGUUUUUGAUGCUCUCAAAGCGAUUUCUAAAUUCACCAAUCACACACGGAAUGUUCAGCGGCGGCGUGGCUGCAUCACGUCAGACGAGAGGCUUGAAUCUGCUUUUGACAACUGGGCAGUGAAUGGAGAGGGUUUCAUUCAGUUUGAUGCUGGAGCUCAGAAAUGGAAAGCCCUGUCUCCUUCUGCAGAAAUGAUUAAAGAUUCGUGGAACGGCUAUGAGGCUCGGAACCAUUUGUUUGGACAAUUCAUCAGGAGAUACUGUCUAGAAAUGAUCCACCACAUCAAAUUAAGAGAAAUAGAAAAAAGAACAGAUCUCCGUGUGUUUGCCAACCCUGUUGACAGAACCAAGGCAUUGCUGAAGUGCCACGUCACCAGUACUGACAAAUCAGUGCGUUCAGUGUCUCUGACUGAAGACGGGGCCCCCAAGGCAAACUGGAUCACUGUAACUGGCCCGUUGCCUUCUGGGGAUGGAUCAGUGAUCCUCAUCCUGACAGCUGAGGUCCCCCUGAUCCACACCAACAUCUAUGGCUGUGUUGUCCAAACAGAAGACAGAAACAUCACUGUCAUGUGGGGUGAGAACUUUACAUUUACAUACUGCUGCAUGAUUGUUAUUGAGUCAUGAUCCAGGCUGCACACAGGCCAGUGGGAUCUUAUUGUUGCUGGGGGGGUUCUGGUGUGUUGGGUACUCUGGUAAAAGUCCCUCAUGAAGAAGCUCUGAAACGUUCCUGGUGAUUCUCUGGUCUUCCUCCGUCUGAAAGCAGACCUUUGGAUCUUUUCUGGCUGAGAUUACAGCAGUGUUGGUCAUUAACUCUGUCAGAAACGGCUGUUUCGAUGCUGUUGAAACUUAUUUGAGACUUAUUUUUUUGUCUCUCCACAAGUUUUUUUGGGUUUUUUGGCCCAUUUAAUUAACAACAUUCAACGUGCUUCACAUGUUUCCAGAAAGAAACGAGCUACUACAGAGUUACAAUUUGGUACAGGCAGUGGAAUAUACAGAACCACCCUCUGCCAGCAGGGGGCGCUGCAGCAGCUCAGCACCCACCUUUCUAUCGUCUUGGCACAGAAUUAUCAGUGCGCAACGUUGAGCUUCAGUCUGUGUCCAGGCCUCAGACAACUGUCGGCAUGUCACGUUGGUCCAGACAGUUAAUAAAUUUAACAGUUGAAAUACUCUAAAUAGAGUCAGUUACACUUUCUGUUAUUCAGAGCACAGCUUUCAAAAUAUUAAAAAUAAGUUUAUUACAAUAACACAUAUGACGACAUGCUGCAUAGAGUAAAGUAUGGCCAGUUUGGUGAUUACAAUAAUCAUGUUUUUGUUGUUUAUACUCUUUUAUGAGCAGAUGGAAACACACUUGAUGGACAACACAUCCUUUACAUCCAGAUGACGCUUUGGAGAAUUAUCGGCAUCAUCUUUACAGUUUGUUGUUUAAUCUCCGUAAUGACUGUUUGGUGUAAGUCUCACUUCUUUGAUUGUAACUUUCAAGUCAGUCUGUGAGCUGAUAUUUUACUAUUGUGGCCCUGCAUUAAUAGAACGUUAAUGAUGUUUCUUGUGAAAAUCCAAAGUCACAUGUACUGUAAUAUUUGGACUGUGUUGUCAUCCAGUAGCAGAGCUUUGAGACUUAUGCUGCUGACACGGGUCUAACCUUCACUGACUGGCAUCUUUUUUAAGAAGCCAAGAAGCCAAACUUUGGAAAACUUUAGCACUUUGACCCUAAAUUCAGUAUUAAUGAUCUUGAACUUUUUAAAUCAGAGCUUAACACUCAUCUUUUAAAACUGCCUUUAAACACCUCGUAAUGCUGUCACUUUAUGUCUGGUUUCAUGUAUUUUGUGUUAUUUACUCAUUCAUCUCUCCUUUAUUUUGUUUGCAUCAUCUUUAUUUUAUGUAAAACAGUUUGGUCACUUAUUUCUAUAUAAAAAUCUUAUAUGUUGUUGAAUGUAUGAUGACUUUAUUUCUGUUUCUGAAAGACUGGUUUCAGUUACAUCCUUGGUGAAGUUGAAAUUUAACUCUGAAGUUCUUCCUUGAAGAAUCAAAUCAGAUUGAUUUGAUUUAUGCUGCUGACACGGGUCUAACCUUCACUGACUGUCAUCUUUUUUAAGAAGCCAAACUAUGGAAAGCUUUAGCACUUUGACCCGUCUUAUGUUAUGAAGUUCUUCCUACAAGAAUCUAACAAAUUCAUGUGAAACUGGUCCACUAAUCUUGUGUGUAAAAUAGUAAACUGUUUAACUGUUUGUAAAAUAACUUGCAGAACUUGAAAUCAUUAAGAGUUUCGCUUUUUUUCAUUAUUAAAUGUUUGUAAAUAUUGUAUGUUUUUACUUCCUGCAAUAAAUGAGUUUUAUUUUUGUUAAGAGCCUGUGUGAUAAUGUUUAUUUUCAUUUACAUGAGGGAAUGUCUGAUUAGAUGAGGUGGUUACCAUUGUCUCAUCACAGCAACAAGGUUGUGGGUUCCAAUCCCCUGGGAUCGCAGCUUUAUCAGUGCAGUUUGGAAGUUCUCCCAGGAUGUUUCAUGAAAUGACCACUGACUCUUUUAGUUCAUUUUGAAAAAAAACAAAAAACUUUAAUUUGGCCAGGUUUAGUUACAUAUUUGGUCUCAUAUUUUAGUCUUUUUCUGGUCAUUACAGUACCGGUAAUGUCCUGCUGAAACACCAGUACUUUUCAUACAAAGAGAAUCCACACCGAAACCUCUGAAUGUAGAAGGUUUAGGGCAGAACACUGGCUGAACAGGUUCAGGGACACUGUUCUGUCAUCUGUCACCUGCAGAAAUGAUUAAAGAUGUGUGGAACAACCGUGAGGCUCAGAACCAUUUGUUUGCCACCACUUUAACUGGCCCGUUGCCUUCUGGGGAUGGAUCAGUGAUCCUCAUCCUGACAGCUGAGGUCCCCCUGAUCCACACCAACAUCUAUGGCUGUGUUGUCCAAACAGAAGACAGAAACAUCACUGUCAUGUGGGGUGAGAACUUUACAUUUACAUACUGCUGCAUGAUUGUUAUUGAGUCAAAGCAAUACAGGCUGGAACUUACUCUCACAGAAUUAACAUUCUGCAAAAUUAAAGGGACUUUUUUUUC